CGAGACCUCAGGUCAGGCGGGGCUACCCGCUCGAGUUUAAGCAUAUCAUU
Molecule: ribosomal RNA, 50 nt
Filed under: Indigofera decora
Lineage: Eukaryota; Viridiplantae; Streptophyta; Magnoliopsida; Fabales; Fabaceae
Also listed under: 5 other names
Description: partial 28S ribosomal RNA
Source: RNAcentral